GAUGAACGCUGGCGGCGUGCCUAAUACAUGCAAGUCGAGCGAACAGACGAGGAGCUUGCUCCUCUGACGUUAGCGGCGGACGGGUGAGUAACACGUGGAUAACCUACCUAUAAGACUGGGAUAACUUCGGGAAACCGGAGCUAAUACCGGAUAAUAUAUUGAACCGCAUGGUUCAAUAGUGAAAGACGGUUUUGCUGUCACUUAUAGAGGGAUCCGCGCCGCAUUAGGUGGUUGGUAGGGUAACGGCUUACCAAGGCAACGAUGCGUAGCCGACCUGAGAGAGUGGUCGGCCACACUGGAACUGGGACACGGUCCAGACUCCUACGGGAGGCAGCAGUAGGGAAUCUUCCGCAAUGGGCGAAAGCCUGACGGAGCAACGCCGCGUGAGUGGUGAAGGUCUUCGGAUCGUAAAACUCUGUUAUUAGGGAAGAACAAAUGUGUAAGUAACUAUGCACGUCUUGACGGUACCUAAUCAGAAAGCCACGGCUAACUACGUG
This 497-nucleotide ribosomal RNA is filed under the name uncultured bacterium. Its description in RNAcentral is "partial 16S ribosomal RNA". It matches the Rfam family "Bacterial small subunit ribosomal RNA", at positions 28 to 507 of the family's 1533-position model. The record is from RNAcentral.